GAGGGGAAGAAAUCAUAUAUUGGAUAAAACUUUUGGAUUACAGUAGUGGAUAUUACAUGAGGAACAUCAUCCAAAUAUGCUGCAUAAUCUCAAUAUUUUCUUCACAGCGAAGCGAAACUUUAACUGAAAGAAUCCAUCAACAUCCCUACAACUAAACUAAAACGUAACUGAGGAACAUCAUCUAGCAACAUCAACAAUGUCCCUAGCACUUAACAAAACCAAAAGGAUCCAUCAUCAUGAACUGGAACUUCAUCAUCAUUGCAGUAUACUUGCCACGCACCCAUAUAAUCAUCCAUAUAUCUUUUGAAUCUACAAAAAAAAUAACAAAUUGAAUUGUUAAUACACAAUGCAAGUAGUGAUGAGGCAAGGUAUUAGACGCAUACAAAGGUUGAAAGCAUACAAACACUAAAAAUACUAAGUCGUGUUAUCUCUAUGUAGCAGCAAAGUCUCUAGAGAAUGCCCACUUAGAUGUCUUGUUGUUUAGCCUAUUAGCUUGAACAAAAUAGUUUUAAAAGGAGGUUUGAUAGUGGGAGAUACACUUGUGUAAAUGAGAAAAGUAUGGCACCUCCGCCCAGAUGUUGGAAGUUACGCGACAUUUAUCAUAAUUUGCAAAAUAAAUAUGUAUCUAUAAACCUUUAUUAUUUAAACUUUCGAGUGGCUAUUUUCUAAAGGUGUUGAUUACAUUAGCAGUAUUUUCUUGAACCAUCAAUUGCAAAUGUCACAAUAUAUUAUCCAGGGUGUAGAUUUUCUACAGUGAUAUAUUUACCAAGAAGAUAUCUGCAAGAAAAACUAUUAUAAAUCUCCAAGCACGGAUAUCUUAAUGGCCAUAACAUCUUAAUUAAUAAAUUGUUGAGCUAAUCAAAGGAAUGAAUAUUUAAAUCACUUAUUGUGAAAUAUAUAUUGCACUAAUACGAAAUCAAGCUCAAACUAAAUUCUACUCCCUCCGUCCCAUCAUUUAAGACGUUUUUUGACACUAGAGUAGUGUCCAAAAACGUCUUACAUUAAUUAUGGGAAGGAGGGAGUAGAAUAUAUGUUAGCAGGAAACCUUAAAGUACCUACCGUUUCGUUGAAAGGUAUCAAAUUCCGUUAGUAAUUAUGCUGAACUGUCCACCUUCACAUUAUACACUACAUGUAGCAAUACAGAAAGGAUUAGUAACUGCAGUAGUAUUAGUUUACUCAAGGAAGGGCUUCUCCAUUAUAUCGUCACAACAAACAAUGAAAAACAUAGGGAGGGAGCCUAGCAAGCUGAUACUCAGAUUCUUUUUAUCUUUUGAUGGAAUGCCUUUUUCAAUUAACGUUGCAUCUAUGAUUUCAGGUUGAUGCUGAUGUGUGCAAAUUUCAGGUUAGGCUCAUACAUUACCAACCAACAUUAGAAAGGAAGGAGUCAUGCAUUGCAUUAAAUUACAGGGGGGGAAAGAAAGCAAAUGACCUUAGAAUGUGGUGAUGCAAACCAUGUUCCAGCAAUACACAAAGAAAUGCCGACAUAUGCAUCUCCUCAAGCCAUGGUACAUCAUGGCGCUUCUCUGUUUUGGAGCUCAUUAGGAACCGGCCAACAGAUCUACGCGCAAUGUGAGGCAUGAAUUGAAUUUCAACAGAACAAUUACUUGUGUAUUUGAGAAAACAAAUUAGUUUCAAAGCUCAGGAAAUUAUUUGCAAUCAAAUCAGGGAUAUCCAUCAAAAAAGUACCAUAGAAUUGAUCAGUAUAUUACUUGAUAGCAUUAGUUAGAUCCAUUCGCACCUUACUGCCACCAUGCUUGUGAACAUCAUGUGCGUUUUAUGCCUCCAGGACCGCAUCCAAGCGACCAAGCCUCAUAGCGCUGCAUCAACCUGCACUUCUCAAAUUAAUUCAUAUAUACAAUUAGUUGUAGGAAGUGGAGACAGGGCAACGUGCGUCGAUGCAUCAUGAGGAUAGAGGCAGCCAAAGCGUUAGGCAAUCAAAAUCCACCAAAACAGACCUGUAGGCUGCACUUUCUCACUAGAGCCUACAUCUCAAAUUGCAGGAGCACAACAUAAAAAUUCUCAAAACGGAAACCAACUGCCUUCUUUGUUCAUUGGAUACCUGCAAUAAGUCUGCCCUACUUCAUCGAAUCUAUGGUGGUAGCACUAGGGGUUUAUCUUGCAGUUCAAUCGAAGCAUCAAUUAACACCGUAGUAGCACAACAAGAUCAAAUUGACCACAAGCAGCAGGCACUUGGGCCCAAACAGUGGAAAAUCCUAACACCACCAGAACAAAAAUGGCUCCUGAUGUGCCACCAAACAGAGCAGAGAGGAGUGGAACGACUCACCUGGCUCCAUGUUUGCUUCAUCCCGAGCAGCAGCAAAGUUGUCCACUGGCCGUUCCUCCCUCCACAU
RNAcentral lists this long non-coding RNA (2351 nucleotides) under Triticum aestivum (bread wheat). RNAcentral describes it as "long non-coding RNA (TAES_LNC024437)". The record is from RNAcentral. Lineage: Eukaryota; Viridiplantae; Streptophyta; Magnoliopsida; Poales; Poaceae.